AUGGACCACCAAGAAAAUAUAGUAACGCGACUUAUCCAAGAAGUGCAUAGAUCGAAAUGGAUUGCAAGUAGCAAUCAUGAUGUGAAAUGUUUUACAGAAGAUGAGAUAAGAAGAUUUACCAACAACUACAAAUCUGUAAUAGGCAAAGGUGCCUUUGGUGAAGUUUACGAAGGAGUCCUGGAGGACAAAAGUAUGAUUGCAGUCAAGAGGUUUAUCUGCAAUGUAAAAGAAAAUUUUGCCAAAGAGUUGAUCGUCCACCGUGAAAUCAAUCACAAGAAUGUAGUCAGAUUAGUUGGCUACUGUGUAGAUGAAAAUGCCCUAAUGGUGGUCACGGAGUAUAUUCCUAAGGGAAAUCUGAGCAACAUCCUUCACCAGGAUAGUACUCCCAUCGCUUUGGAUAUACGGCUAAGAAUUGCCAUUGAAUGUGCAGAAGCAUUGGGCUAUAUGCAUUCACAAAUGUAUACUCAGGUCAUUCAUGGUGAUAUCAAGCCUGCUAAUAUACUUCUGGAUGAUGAACUCAGAGCAAAAAUAUCAGACUUUGGAAUAUCAAGGCUAGUCAACACUGAAAAUACUCUAUAUACUCUAAAUGUGAUAGGAAGUAUAGGCUACAUGGACCCUCUGUUUGCUCAGAAUGGUCGCCUCACAGCAAAGAGUGAUGUUUAUAGUUUUGGAGUUGUGCUCCUGGAACUGAUAACCAGAAAAAAAGCAAGAACAGAGGAUGGAGAGAUUGGCUUGGUUGAAAGUUUUAUUCUAUCUCUUUCAAAAGGGUUUAGGAGGGUGAGGGAGAUGUUUGACCCUGAAAUUGCAACAUUAAGAGGCAUGAAGACUAUGGAUGAGAUUGCUAAGUUGGCAGGUAAAUGCUUGAGGAUGGAAGUCAGCAAACGUCCUGAGAUGUUAGAAGUUGCAGAAAGUCUUCGCAAAUUUAGAAAAGCUCCACAUCAGGUACAAGAAAGACCAGCUCUGUUUUCUUGGGGAAGGAAAAAUAAACCUGCUCCAGCCGAAACACCGUCUCUAGGAAGCAGUAGCAUCAGCGGUAUUCAAAUUGUGGGAACUGUAGCUCCAGCCAAAACACCAUCGCUAGAAAGCAGUAGCAGUAGCCAAAGUGUGAGAACUGUAGCUCCAGCUGAAAUGACACCAUCACAGGAAAGCAAUGGCAGUGCCCCCAAAACGGGAAUUGUGGCUUCAGCCAAAAAGCCAUCAGAGGAAAGCAGUAGCAAUACCCGAAAUGUGGGAAGUUUUAUCGUUAGGCCGACAGUGACAGGCCAAUUGUUCGAGCUGGACGACCUGCUUCGGUCAUCAGCUGAAGCUCUGGGAAAGGGUACAGUUGGGACAAUAUACAAAGUGACGCUUAAUAGUGGACAUGAGCUGGUGGUCAAGAGGCUGAAGGAUGUGGACAUGCCAGAGCCGGACUUUGAGCAGCAUGCCAUGCUGAUUGGCGCCAUCCAGAACAAACACAUUGUGCCACUGCAGUGGUAUUACUAUAGCAAGGAUGAGAAGUUGCUAGUGUAUGAUAUCAUCCCCAUGGGUAGCCUAGCAAAAGUGCUCCACGGUGACGAAGAUUCUCGCCCAGCUCCGCUGGACUGGGAGCAGCGGUCAGCCAUCUCACUUGCUGCUGCGCGCGGUGUGGAGGCUAUCCACUUAGCUGGACCAUCGAGCUGCCAUGGAAACAUCAAGUCUUCCAACAUUCUGCUCAGUGGCAACCACGAUGCAUUUGUGUCGGAGCACGGCCUGAUAACACUAGUUGCCAUGUAUCCUGAUGCUUCUGGCUACCGCGCGCCUGAGCUCACCAGCAAUAUGCGGGUCUCUCAGGAAGCCGAUGUGUACAGCUUCGGCAUCCUACUGCUGGAGCUUCUCACCCGCAAGGCUCCAACAAAUAGCAGAAAGGAUCUCGAGGGAGUUGAUUUGCUACGGUGGGUGUGUUCUGUUGUACGUGAGAAGUGGACAGCGGAGGUGUUCGAUGUGGAGCUCAUAGGGCGGGAGCAGAAGGUCGUGGAAGAGGAGUGCAUGGUGCGACUUCUGCAGCUCGCCAUAAACUGUUGCAGUCAAGAUGCCGACCGGAGGCCUACAAUGUUUGAAGUCGUGCAGCAGAUCGAGGAGAUCAGACAGUCCUGA
Molecule: ribosomal RNA, 2112 nt
Filed under: Triticum aestivum (bread wheat)
Lineage: Eukaryota; Viridiplantae; Streptophyta; Magnoliopsida; Poales; Poaceae
Description: partial small subunit ribosomal RNA
Source: RNAcentral